AUAAGAAAAUAGAUAUCACCAAAGACAUUUUAGUGUUAAUAACCAUGUUAGCGAGAGACAGUUUUAACUGUUUGGAGGUUGGAAAUUUUUAGACUGCAAUUUACUUUUAUAUAAUUAGGCAAUAACCUUGAGUAGUUGCUAAAAUAUCACCAAAGAAAGACUUUAAACUUAAUUUUCAUGGUAAGAUCAAUCAAAUGCAGGUUUUUCUUGCAAUAAUCAGAACAUACUUCCUUUCAGCCAUGUUUCUUAUUUUUCCAGCACCAUCUGGAAUUUCUUAGGAAAUUCUCAAAGGUGAAAAAGAGAUUAACACAACCAGUAGCCUCCCUCUGGAUGAAAAAUGGGAGAAAUACAUAGUUUGGAGAGAAAAUUGAAAUUGAGAUUUUAAAUUCUAAUUUGAGAAGAUUUUUAUCCCUUGGAGGUGAUAUGGACUAAAAUUAUGCUUAUUUAGUUCCUGGGUUCUUAGUAAUAUGAGAAAUUUUAUUAAAGACAGACUUUGGUAAAAGUGCGGACAUGCUUCCUUGUGUAGAAAACAGUACAUUCUCUUGGACUCACAUAAGUAAAUGCUUUUUCUGUAUCCGAAAACAAAAAUUUUCCUAAAGGCCUGUGGGUUGUUUUUUUUUU
Molecule: long non-coding RNA, 621 nt
Filed under: Bos taurus (domestic cattle)
Lineage: Eukaryota; Metazoa; Chordata; Mammalia; Artiodactyla; Bovidae
Description: long non-coding RNA NONBTAT015974
Source: RNAcentral